RNAcentral lists this ribosomal RNA (490 nucleotides) under uncultured bacterium. Its description in RNAcentral is "bacterial SSU rRNA". It matches the Rfam family "Bacterial small subunit ribosomal RNA", at positions 46 to 527 of the family's 1533-position model. The record is from RNAcentral.
KCUUAACACAUGCAAGUCGAGGGGCAUCACGGGGUAGCAAUACUCUUGGUGGCGACCGGCGCACGGGUGAGUAACACGUAUGCAACCUACCUCGUACAGGGGGAUAACCCGGAGAAAUUCGGACUAAUAUCCCAUAAUGAUAUUGAAAGGCAUCUUUUAAUAUUUAAAGCUCAGGCGGUACGGGAUGGGCAUGCGGAACAUUAGCUGGUUGGUAGGGUAACGGCCUACCAAGGCUACGAUGUUUAGGGGACCUGAGAGGGUUAUCCCCCACACUGGUACUGAGACACGGACCAGACUCCUACGGGAGGCAGCAGUGAGGAAUAUUGGUCAAUGGGCGCAAGCCUGAACCAGCCAUCCCGCGUGAAGGAAGAAAGGCGCUACGCGUUGUAAACUUCUUUUCCAGGGGGAGAAUUUUCCGGUCGUGACCGGGAUUGACGGUACUCUGGGAAUAAGCAUCGGCUAACUCCGUGCCAGCAGCCGCGGUAAUACA